UCGCGGGACCUGGUUAGAAAAGCCUUUGUAUAAAAGGUAUCAUUUUAGAAAAUCAAAGUAGCCGCGAAAUGUGCCAUUUUCUUUUAGAAAUAGCCUGGCCCACGUGACGUACAGACCCGUCAUAAAUACAAAAUUUCUAGAUCUGUCCACACGAACGGAGUCUCCUCUAUAUUUGCACGGUGUACCAUGCUUGUAUAACAAGUUACACAACGACAACUCACAACCCACAUUCUUGAUAAUCCAAAAGCAGUCAUUUUUAAAGAUGACUAGCCGUAUAGACAAAUGCAUAUGAGUGAAAAACUAUUUGUGGAUUAUCAUAACUAUGGGUUGUGAGUUGUCAUUGUGUAACUUGUUGUACAAGAAAGGUACGCGGUGUAAAUAUAGAAAAAACUUUAUUCACGUGAACAGAAAAAUUUUAUAUUUGCGGAACGUCUGUACAUCGCGUGUGUCAGACUGUUUCAAAAAAAAAUAUAAAGGUUG
RNAcentral lists this long non-coding RNA (480 nucleotides) under Ananas comosus (pineapple). Its description in RNAcentral is "long non-coding RNA (ACOM_LNC023951)". Lineage: Eukaryota; Viridiplantae; Streptophyta; Magnoliopsida; Poales; Bromeliaceae. The record is from RNAcentral.